This is a non-coding RNA of Pelobates cultripes (western spadefoot toad), 686 nucleotides long. The record is from the annotation of a GenBank genome assembly. Lineage: Eukaryota; Metazoa; Chordata; Amphibia; Anura; Pelobatidae.
GGCAAGAUGUCAUAUCCAUACAAUAUCACUUUCACAUCAUAAUACCUGAUGAAUAAACAAAGUCUACAGAUCUUAUGAAGACCUAGUAUGUACCUAAGCUAAAAAGGCAUUGACGAAACAUAAUUACAACACAAACAUGAUGAAUAAAACGCACACGGACAACCAUCACUGAAUAUUAGAAAUAACCUUUAUUAUGUAAAACCAUGCAUUCACAAAACAUAACAAUAUCCCCAAUUAUUUAUAAUAGAAUAAAACCCAGAUCCAGGGAGGGAACGUAACAAAAGGGGGGGGAAAUAUUCGCCUCCUGUCUUUAAUAAAAUUUAGAUUAUUCCCUCACCGAGGCUAGAAUAAUCCCUAAUUUUAUGGCAGGACAGGAGGCUUCAUAUUUGCAAUUUUAACGCCCAAAUAGUAGAACCAGAAGCAAUAUGAGAUAGAGGACUGAAAUAAAGGAGAAUGGAAAAACUGAUUCCCUAAACCAAGCAGCGGUGUAGAGAAAAUGCAGAAGGGACCCAACGGCUUCCAAAAUUGUUGAGGUGACAGCACCCCGAACCAAAAGUGUCCCAGAGGAACUCAAGGUCAGUCAAUGAGAGGAUCCACCAAAUCCAACGGGCAAGCGAAGAUGCAGAAACAGUCCAAAACGGCCGUACGCAGAAAUAAGCAGCUGUCCAUGAGUAGACGGACGAAAG